UCAGUGCGCCCAAAUUGGGACGAGCAGCGCCAUGCGCCUGAGGCGUCUCUGUGGGAGAACAUGUUGACACCUCACACAGCACGCUGAAGAGUCCUAUUGAUUUUCAAAUGGAGGAGAAGAGAGUCUCCCAGCGGCGGCCGCUCGAUGGACUUGUGUGAAAGUCUGAGGGAUGACACUCGCUCCGUCACGGAUGGCAGCCGUUGGCGAGCUCGCCCUGGGCGGCCGCCUCGGGCACCGCAGUACGCCCUCACACUCGGGGAAAAUUAGUGAAAUAAAAUUAGGAAAUAAUUUGUGACGGACACUGUCCUCCGCCCAACCCUUCACGCUUCUGUCUUGAAAUUAAAUAUAAUUACAAAAUAAAUUAGAGUAACUGUUUUGGGGAAGUCAGGUCACAUGACGUGGAGGCGUAUGUCACGUCAGCGAACGAGCGACCAGUCAGAACUCGACAGGUGUUUUUUUUUAUUUACAGGUUUUUUCAACACGAAAAGAACACCUGAGCCCUCGGGUGCACAGUUCCGCCAAAGAAGAAAAAUGGAGGAAGAAAAGAAGUCAAAAUAAGAAGUGGUCUCUAAUGGAGAUUGUCUGCACCCUGUUGUGAUAUUGAUGUGGCAUAUGCAGUAUUUCCUCACAUAGUGUCUCCUACUCCAUUAGAAGCCAGGCCUCAAUUCAACACCAGGUGUCUCUUUUCAUCUAAUGCCGAGAUCACUCUCCAGAAUUUUAGCAGUGAUAAAUUUGCCGAUUAGCUACCACAGGCGAGUUCCCAGAUUGCUUCCAUAUUUUGCGCACCUUGAUGUCAGCCAAUAGGAUUGUGUCUUGUCACCGCCGCAUCGUCUUCUGUUCUCGCCAUUGUCAACAUACUUGCCGGACCAGAAGUGGUCUAACUGGAAGAAACGUCAUGCAGACAAGAUGGCAAGAUUUUAUGGCAAUUGUCUGACAUAUUGCAAUUGUGAAAGAGCAACUUUGUCUUGUAGUCUGAUUCAGGCAUAACUGGUGCUUUACAGCAUCUUUGUGUUUGUGGCUGUGAAAGUCUCUGGUGACCUGGCCUUUACCACCUCACGUAGCCUCAUGCAGCUUGUUAGUGUGCCUGUAUGCACAAUUUGUGUGUCUGUGAGUGUGUCACAAGGGCAGCAUGGGAAAGCUUGCUAAUUUUCUAAAUGGAGUCAUCCAUCUGACAGAGGAGAAAGAUUCUGCUUGGCUUCCCACCUGUGAUCCGGCCCACGAGGGGAGUCCGAAUGGGCCCAGUUGAGGGUCACCAGACGUGUAUGAAUGUAAGAAGAGGAAUAUAUAGCAUGUGAAGCCACGACGGAGGAGUUCACUUGUUGACCUAAAACUACCAGAGACGUCGCCUGAUUGUGUGUCGUGACCACUCUGGACCCUGUUACGAGCCCGGCCUAGGUUUGAUCUAACGAAGACUCAUUGCUGUUAAAGACUGAUUAGAGCAUCUGCUUCACAGUGAGUGGGUUUUCUACAGGAACUUCGGUUUCCUCCCACAUCCCCCAAAAAACUUGCAAGGUGACACAGUCGCCGGCCUUUGAAGAGGAGCAGCGAGCCGAGCGGCCACUCACCAAGAAAACGGGGGAAUCUGUCAUUUCACACUGGGAGGAAACCCAUGCCGGGUGGCUAUUGUACCUCAUAAUAGGCAAGCCGUGGUUUAACAUAUCAUUUUGACACGUUUGGGCGUUAUGACACAGAUGGUUUUACUGACGCUAUUGGUAGAAGGGAGGAAGGAAACCGCUUCUCAUGUUGCACUGAACUGGGCCACAUGUAGAUGCGACCGGAAAACUAGCUUUUACAGAAUCAACAGCACCUCUGCUGGUUGCUAUUGAGUAUUGCACUCCAUUUUUAUAAAAAGUAGAUGGAUGGAUGCUUUAAUCCAGUGAUUUUCCACCACUGUGCCGAUGAUGAUGAUGAUGAUGAUGAUGUGGGGUGUACAGCAGAAAUUUAUUAAUCCAACCAUCCAUCUCGGUAUUUUCUAUGCGGAUUGUCCUCUUUGCACGAGUCAGAGGAACAAAUCCCAUCCGACUUUGAGUGAGAGGUGGGGUACAACCUGGAAAAGUCACCGCCAACCAAUCGCUGGGCACAAAUAAAAAAAACAACCAUUCGUACUCUCAUUGUCACGGAAGGACACCUUCGACAUGAAGGCUGUAUCGCAUUAUGUCAUCUUGAAGCAUGUAGAUGGUGGGUGCUUGAGCAGAGCACAUGUGAGUACCAAUCCCAAUGCUUCAGUAUCUGCAGAUAGGAUUUAUGGUCAUGAAGACUUAACACUUGAAUAUGGAGAUCAUUGAAAAAAAUCAUCACCAUUAAAAAUGAUUUUCGUGACUGAAAGAGAAGCUAAGACUAGAUGACACUGUGAGACUUCUGGGAUCGGUAGAACCCAGAAAUAAGCAGAAUUUCUGUGUAAACUGCAGGGGUUAACGCUGUGAGGGGAAAAUGUAGUUUGUAGCCAGUUUUUGGUCAUCAACUAUCAAUUCCACACAACUGACAGGAUUGUUAAUGACUUGAGUGACUGAUUAUUAGGCCCAUUGUUCGUCAUAGAUAUUUGACCUUACAUGCAAGUAUUGCGGCCGAACCCCAUCAUCCCAAUUGUGGAAUCACCCGAGCUAAAUAAUAAAAAGCUCAGUAGUCUUGGAUUGGAACAAACUCCCGCCCCCUGUCCACUGUUGAUGUGCAAAUUUAAGGAGACAAGUAAGUUGUAAAACCGUUCCAUCAGUCGAUCCCAGAAGCGUUCAUUUCAUGCUGUCCACUGAGGCAGCUGUUUGACAGCACCUGACAACUUAUUCAUUAGCGACAAUAAUCAGGCUCCCAUAUGUUGUAGGGUCUUCACACUUUUAAAGCUCUUGGCAACCAUAUCAUCUCACAACCCCUUGUCAAUAUGUCAGCCAUCUGUUUAAAGACAAUACACUCCGCGGGGAGGGGGCUCGCCACUGGUUUAUGACUGUGAGGUGUGAAUACUCUCCUCUUUCUCCCCUUCCUCAUUCCACACGUGGUGGCCCAUCACCCGCUGAGUCCACCUGAGGUCCCAGGACAGCAGUUACAGGGGUUGGCUGCGUCGCGCGAGCCUGCCGGCCGCCUCUUCUUCAAGAGAGAUGCUACACACUAUCAGCUUUGGGCUGCAGACAAAGAUGACUGUCUCCACAUCAGACCACUGGAUCUCCUCACACAGGCCCCGCUCGUUUGUUUGGCGAGUGUUGUGUUCUGGUCUCCACGGGGCUCGAGGGGCCCGAGUGAUGCCGCGUCACAUUCACGCCGGGUGAAAGGAAAUGAGUUGCAGCGCCUGAGAUCUGAUGUUGUGUUCACUAUCUUCCACUCGCCCGAGGAGCCCCUUUAGUUUAGUGCGACUGGGAUGCCUGUGAGCAUUUUUAUCUGCUGCUGUCCAGGCGAGGUUAUCAUUUCUGCUCCACCUCGGACCUCACGCAUUGUCACGAAGCUGCAGUUGAACAAUCUCCGUCGCACAAAUAUCGCCAUCACGUUUAUCUGAUCUAUUUGUCGAGGUCAGCUAUGUUUAUUCUGGCUGACAUUCCACCCUACAGUAUUUUAACGCCCCCCAACCGAGCCAGAACAAAUUUGCCAAUUGUUGUUCUUGUCAAAGCGGAGUAAUAAGCCCACACUUGCCCCAUGUGUUUUGAGUUGGCCUGAGUGCUGAGUGGGCCAGGUAGUGUUGACUCUCGGGUGAAAAGCGGCCUUGAUCCACCCCGCGUGGUCACUUCCAGGUCGGGCGUGAGGAGUGUGCACGAAUGGGGGGGUUGGAAGCAGGAUAUCAGAGACAGGCCAAAUAAACAAAGCUGUCAGCCGUAGCAUGGCCCUCUGACCUGCCCUGUCCCAUCUGUUUUCUUAUCUGCUCCAGCGCUAAUACUGAGAACAAGUGACACCUCUCUCGCUGUUUCCCUUCCACUUGGAUGCCGUGGUUGGCAGGGGUGUGGAGCUAUUGUGGCCGUUUUUCAUUCUCAAAAUUUAUGAGCGCAAUAAAAUGGCCCAAUACAGUGUUUUGAUAUUUUGUAGGAAUAUGUCCUUAAGCGGCUUGAUGUGAUCUUUCCCACAAACUCAUCCAACUGUGCCUUUAAGGACCUGAAUACAGUAAGAACUGAAAAGGAUUCACUGGGAUCUCUUCCCACAGUUGCUUGCACGCAAUGGUCCAAAAUGUCUUUUUGCAGCAGUGGUUUAAUCUGCAAGGAUUCUUGGUUGUAGACUGGAUCAACCCCCCACCCUCACCCCCAGAUAUCCCACCCACAUUUCAAGGGAGUGCAGUUUUUACUGAAUAGCCACAUAGUAAAAAAGCCGGAAAAUGCCAUUUUUACAGGCACUAACAAAUCUAACCACUCAUAAAACUAGUCUUUUUCCAACAUUUUAUUUAUUUGCGAACGUUACACAGACAGACACAGAAUCAGUGGGUUGAAUUUGAGCUACAGAUUUCCUUGUCUUCUGAGGUAGGAUCAGAGGCGUAGCUAAGCGGGGGCGUCACAAGAAGUUGGGAAGACAAUGUGAAUAUCAACUGCACGUAAUGUAGAUGGAUGGACUAAAAUAAAAAUAUCACUUAUGGCAGAACUCUGUGUAUUAGCCCAACCUCUGACUGAUACAUUUUCGUUUUACUUUGUUUGGGCUCUCAUAUCAAACAUUUUCAAUGGCAUAAGACGCUCAAGUGUAAAGACAGAAGUUACAGUCUUUGGCGUUUGCUGACGAGCUCACAAGAAACGAGCGUCACAGAACCAUCAUUGCUGUGCUGGGCGGAGUGGAUCGGUCCUUGAUGGUGCCAAUCAUUGGGGAGGGCGGAGAGGAGGUAGACCAUCAUUGAAGCUCCCCAGGGACUGAAAUGGAGGAGCGUGAGUGAAGGGGCGGAGCAGCAACAGCAGAAAGGCGUGUUUGAGUUAUCUGUUCAUGGUUAAAAUUGUUCAUCUAAAUCCACCAUUCCAAAAAUGACCUAGCUUGUAGUUUUUGUUUUUUCUUAAUAUGGUGAUGACAGGCCAUUUCCCUUAAAACUUUUGCAUUUAAUUGUCCAAUUGUUGCAACACAUUCAGUCCAUACUAGUUCAUUGAACUCUUUUACGUACAACAUUGGUAACAAAAGGAAAACCACCAAACCUUCACAGGCUCACACUGUAUAGCGUCAAAAUUCAUGUAGAAUUUGUAGCUGAUAUUGUAUUUUAAUAAAACAUUGAUGUAUGGCCACAUUGUAAAAAUGUUAAAAUCUCCCAAUUUUUGCGUUUGAAAGUAGAUUACAGCAUGUGUGCCUAAACUAGUAACAUGACUUCCAUGUAAAUGUCCAACAAGGUAGAAAUAUUUCUACAACGUAAACUAACUGUUGCCACAAUAGCCGUUAGACCAAUCUACAGGUUUUUGUUGGAUUAUUAAAGAUA
Long non-coding RNA from Syngnathoides biaculeatus (alligator pipefish), 5350 nucleotides. RefSeq lists it as uncharacterized. The transcript is spliced from 12 exons. The record is from RefSeq and is a predicted model, not a curated record. Lineage: Eukaryota; Metazoa; Chordata; Actinopteri; Syngnathiformes; Syngnathidae.